UGAGAAAUGGUGAUAAAUGGUGAGAAAUAUUGAUGAAUGGUGAGAAAUGGUAAUAAAUAGUGGUAAGUGAUGAUAAUAAAUGGUGAGAAACGUGGAUAAAUAAUUAAUUUUCAGCCAGUUUUCAGCAGCCCCCGCUCCCUGAGGUGGCUGAGGGGAGCCUGGUCCUGCAAAGCCUGGCUUAAAUCCCUCAGCUGGGCUCAGGGGAGGCCCUUGGCUGGGCAGAGCUCCCAGUGGGAAAGCAGGGAAUUGUUUUUUCCCUGGAGAUAACAAGGGGGAAAGAAGAAAAAAAGGGCUCCCUGCAAGGUCACUGCGUGGGGAGGGCGAGGAGAGGAGGGGAAAAGGGGGAAUUCUGCCUGAAAAACAGGGAGGAGACAGGGGAGGGCCCCAAAAUGGGCUGAUUUUCCUGGAGAAUAAACACAGGGAGCCUGAAAAAAAGGAUGGAAAGGAUUUUUGGGGUGACAGGACAAGGGGAAGUGGCUUCAAACUGAAAGGGAGCAGAGUUUUUAUAACGUCCAGGGACAAAGUUCUUCCUUCAGGAUUGGGAUACAAGGUGGGUUUGGAAGUUGGGUGAAGCCAAGGUGGUACUUUGGCAUCUCAGGGUGUCCUUGAUGCCCCAAAUUCAGUGCCCUGAGCACCCAGAGAUUGAGAUUCUCUGCCCAACAGCCUCUGGAGCAGAGGGAUUUCUCCCUGGAAAAGGCUGAGUGUGAGGAGAACAGGCCAAGGAGGGAUUUAUUGUGUGGGAGAGAAGGGGAUGGAGAGAGGAGAGGGCCCCAAAAUGUGCUGCUUUUCCUGGAGAAUAAACACAGGGAGCCUGAAAAAAGGAUGGAAAGGGAUUUUUGUGGUGACAGGACAAGGGGAAUGGCUUCAAACUGAAAGGGAGCAGAGUUUUUAUAACUUCCAGGGACAAAGUUCUUCCUUCAGGAUUGGGAUACAAGGUGAGUGUGGAAGUUGGGUGAAGCCAAGGUGGUACUUUGGCAUCUCAGGGUGUCUUUGAUGCCCCAAAUUCAGUGCCCUGAGCACCCAGAGAUUGAGAUUCUCUGCCCAACAGCCUCUGGAGCAGAGGGAUUUCUCCCUGGAAAAGGCUGAGUGUGAGGAGAACAGGCCAAGGAGGGAUUUCCCUUGUGGGAGGGAAGGGGAUGGAGAGAGGGGAGGGCACAAGGAACACCUCAGGAAGCACAAGGGAAGGUUUGGAGCUGCUGAAGAGGAUGUGGAGCCUGAGGGCAGCAAAGCAAAGAGCUGGGGAAAAAGGAGAACGUGGAAUGAACACGGAUUUUCCACGUAUUUCCCACAUAUUACAUGUCUUGGUCUGGACCUGGAUGGUUUCCAGAUGUUUUCCCUCUGGUGCCAGCAGGAUUCCUGCCUGUGUUGUCCUGGGAGCCAGUCCUGGCCAUCCCCUGGCUCCAAGACCUCUUUUCCCUGGGAUUGAAAACCCCUUUUUCCUUGGGCAAUAAUGCUUCCCAUUCCCUGGGAUUAAACCCCUUUUUCCUUGGGCAAUAAUGCUUCCCAUUCCCUGGGAUUAAAAACACCUUUUUCCUUGGGCAAUAAUGCUUCCCAUUCCUUGGAAUUAAAACCCCUUUUUCCUUGGGUAAUAAUGCUUCCCAUUCCCUGGGAUUAAAACUCUUUUUCCUUGGGCAGAAAUCAUUCCCCUUCCCUGGGAUUUAAACCCCUUUUUCCUUGGGUAAUAAUGUUUCCCAUUCCCUGGGAUUAAAAACCCUCUGUCCUUGGGUAAUAAGGUUUCCCAUUCCUUAGGAUUAAAACCGCAUUUUUUGGGAGAACCUCAUUUUUUUCCCUUUUGGGAAACCCCAAUGUUUCCCAUUCCCUGGGCUUAAAAACCCUUUUUCCUUGGGCAAAAAUGAUUCCCAUUCCCUGGGAUUAAAACCCUUUUUCCUUGGGCAAAAAUCAUUCCAUUCCCUGGGAUUAAAACCCCUUUUUCCUUGGGUAAUAAUGGUUCCUAUUCCCUGAGAUUAAAACCCUUUUUCCUUGGGCAAAAAUGAUUCCCAUUCCCUGGGAUUUAAACCCCAUUUUCCUUGAGCAAUAAUGCUUCCUAUUCCCUGGGAUUAAAACCCUUUUUCCUUGGGCAAUAAUGCUUCCCAUUCCCUGGGAUUAAAAACACCUUUUUCCUUGGGCAAUAAUGCUUCCCAUUCCUUGGAAUUAAAACCCCUUUUUCCUUGGGUAAUAAUGCUUCCCAUUCCCUGGGAUUAAAACUCUUUUUCCUUGGGCAAAAAUCAUUCCCCUUCCCUGGGAUUUAAACCCCUUUUUCCUUGGGUAAUAAUACUUCCUAUUCCCUGGGAUUAAAACCCUUUUUCCUUGGGCAAAAAUUAUUCCCCUUCCCUGGGAUUAAAACCUCUUUUCCUUGGGUAAUAAGGUUUUCCAUUCCUUA
Long non-coding RNA from Pseudopipra pipra, 2380 nucleotides. RefSeq lists it as uncharacterized. NCBI's taxonomy places the organism in Eukaryota, Metazoa, Chordata, Aves, Passeriformes, Pipridae. The record is from RefSeq and is a predicted model, not a curated record. The transcript is spliced from 2 exons.